AACGAACGCUGGCGGCAUGCCUAACACAUGCAAGUCGAACGGAACCGCCCGUGCUUGUGGCGCACGUCGGGGUAACAACGGGGAAGCUACCCGUGGGUUAGCAACACUUCACCGAAGGAGGUGCUAGGACCAGUGAAUCUAUUCGGACCAAGGACUUAUGGCUUUUUGAUGUGCCGGCGUUGUUUUAGCUAGUUGGUAGGGUAAAAGCCUACCAAGGCGACGAUGGAGAGCUGGUCUGAGAGGAUGAUCAGACACACUGGGACUGAGACACGGCCCAGACUCCUACGGGAGGCAGCAGUAGGGAAUAUUGGACAAUGGGCGAAAGCCUGAUCCAGCAAUGCCGCGUGAGUGAUGAAGGCCUUAGGGUUGUAAAGCUCUUUUACCCGGGAUGAUAAUGACCGUACCGGGAGAAUAAGCCCCGGCUAACUCCGUG
RNAcentral lists this ribosomal RNA (433 nucleotides) under uncultured bacterium. Its description in RNAcentral is "partial 16S ribosomal RNA". It matches the Rfam family "Bacterial small subunit ribosomal RNA", at positions 29 to 507 of the family's 1533-position model. The record is from RNAcentral.